This 450-nucleotide ribosomal RNA is filed under the name uncultured bacterium. RNAcentral describes it as "partial 16S ribosomal RNA". It matches the Rfam family "Bacterial small subunit ribosomal RNA", at positions 354 to 796 of the family's 1533-position model. The record is from RNAcentral.
GUGGGGAAUUUUGGACAAUGGGCGCAAGCCUGAUCCAGCAAUGCCGCGUGCAGGAAGAAGGCCUUCGGGUUGUAAACUGCUUUUGUACGGAACGAAACGGUCCUGGCUAAUAUCCGGGGCUAAUGACGGUACCGUAAGAAUAAGCACCGGCUAACUACGUGCCAGCAGCCGCGGUAAUACGUAGGGUGCGAGCGUUAAUCGGAAUUACUGGGCGUAAAGCGUGCGCAGGCGGUGCUGUAAGACAGGCGUGAAAUCCCCGGGCUCAACCUGGGAAGUGGGCGUGUGACUGCAGGGCGGGAGUGCGGCAGAGGGGGAUGGAAUUCCGCGUGUAGCAGUGAAAUGCGUAGAGAUGCGGAGGAACACCGAUGGCGAAGGCAAUCCCCUGGGCCUGCACUGACGCUCAUGCACGAAAGCGUGGGGAGCAAACAGGAUUAGAAACCCGGGUAGUCC